GUAGGGAAUCUUCCGCAAUGGACGAAAGUCUGACGGAGCAACGCCGCGUGAACGAAGAAGGCUUUCGGGUCGUAAAGUUCUGUUGUUAGGGAAGAACACGUACGAGAGUAACUGCUCGUACCUUGACGGUACCUAACCAGAAAGCCACGGCUAACUACGUGCCAGCAGCCGCGGUAAUACGUAGGUGGCAAGCGUUGUCCGGAAUUAUUGGGCGUAAAGCGCGCGCAGGUGGUUCUUUAAGUCUGAUGUGAAAGCCCACGGCUCAACCGUGGAGGGGCAUUGGAAACUGGGGAACUUGAGUGCAGAAGAGGAAAGUGGAAUUCCAAGUGUAGCGGUGAAAUGCGUAGAGAUUUGGAGGAACACCAGUGGCGAAGGCGACUUUCUGGUCUGUAACUGACACUGAGGCGCGAAAGCGUGGGGAGCAAACAGGAUUAGAUACCCCUGUAGUCC
RNAcentral lists this ribosomal RNA (450 nucleotides) under uncultured bacterium. RNAcentral describes it as "partial 16S ribosomal RNA". It matches the Rfam family "Bacterial small subunit ribosomal RNA", at positions 354 to 796 of the family's 1533-position model. The record is from RNAcentral.